This 1020-nucleotide ribosomal RNA is filed under the name Massaria anomia. RNAcentral describes it as "SSU rRNA". It matches the Rfam family "Eukaryotic small subunit ribosomal RNA", at positions 69 to 1098 of the family's 1831-position model. The record is from RNAcentral. Lineage: Eukaryota; Fungi; Ascomycota; Dothideomycetes; Pleosporales; Massariaceae.
GCAAUUAUACCGUGAAACUGCGAAUGGCUCAUUAAAUCAGUUAUCGUUUAUUUGAUAGUACCUUACUACUUGGAUAACCGUGGUAAUUCUAGAGCUAAUACAUGCUAAAAACCCCAACUUCGGAAGGGGUGUAUUUAUUAGAUAAAAAACCAAUGCCCUUCGGGGCUCUUUGGUGAUUCAUAAUAACUUAACGGAUCGCAUGGCCUUGCGCCGGCGACGGUUCAUUCAAAUUUCUGCCCUAUCAACUUUCGAUGGUAAGGUAUUGGCUUACCAUGGUUUCAACGGGUAACGGGGAAUUAGGGUUCGACUCCGGAGAGGGAGCCUGAGAAACGGCUACCACAUCCAAGGAAGGCAGCAGGCGCGCAAAUUACCCAAUCCCGACACGGGGAGGUAGUGACAAUAAAUACUGAUACAGGGCUCUUUCGGGUCUUGUAAUUGGAAUGAGUACAAUUUAAAUCCCUUAACGAGGAACAAUUGGAGGGCAAGUCUGGUGCCAGCAGCCGCGGUAAUUCCAGCUCCAAUAGCGUAUAUUAAAGUUGUUGCAGUUAAAAAGCUCGUAGUUGAACCUUGGGCCUGGCUGGCCGGUCCGCCUCACCGCGUGUACUGGUCCGGCCGGGCCUUUCUUUCUGGAGAUCCCCAUGCCCUUCACUGGGUGUGGUGGGGAACCAGGACUUUUACUGUGAAAAAAUUAGAGUGUUCAAAGCAGGCCUUUGCUCGAAUACAUUAGCAUGGAAUAAUAGAAUAGGACGUGCGGUUCUAUUUUGUUGGUUUCUAGGACCGCCGUAAUGAUUAAUAGGGAUAGUCGGGGGCAUCAGUAUUCAAUUGUCAGAGGUGAAAUUCUUGGAUUUAUUGAAGACUAACUACUGCGAAAGCAUUUGCCAAGGAUGUUUUCAUUAAUCAGUGAACGAAAGUUAGGGGAUCGAAGACGAUCAGAUACCGUCGUAGUCUUAACCGUAAACUAUGCCGACUAGGGAUCGGGCGAUGUUGCUAUCAUGACUCGCUCGGCACCUUACGAGAAAU